Anolis carolinensis (green anole) is the source of this 756-nucleotide long non-coding RNA. RefSeq lists it as uncharacterized. Lineage: Eukaryota; Metazoa; Chordata; Lepidosauria; Squamata; Anolidae. The transcript is spliced from 2 exons. The record is from RefSeq and is a predicted model, not a curated record.
UCGAAAGGACAACAGGGAUUUGUCCAAUAGAGAAACUAUUACACCUCACUGGCUAUGUAAAACAAAAAGGGGAAAAGGUUUUUAUGAUUCUCAAUUCAGCAGAGAUGGUUGUACUCCCCUACCAAUUGAUUGCUAUUGGUAUGGCCCAUUCUGGGCGUGUCCCCCCCCCCCACUUAAUGGUUUAUUCCAGGAAGUCAGCAAGGCUGGCUGGGAUCAGCCCUUUUGGGAAGCUGGGUUUUUGCAUAUAAAAAGGCUUGCUCCAAGGCACUUUCCUCAAAUGGAUAUGGUCCAUUAGACUGGAGUCUCUUACCGUGCAAACUCCCUCUUUUCCCUGAAGAAUGGAGUCCACAAUGGCAGAUACGACAGAUUCGCAACCCAAUUCUGGGGAUGGUAUAAAGGAAAAGGCUCAGGAGAGCUCUCCUGGCCAACCUCAUCAUGCUCUGGAUAAUUCAAUGUCUUUUUCUGAGAUCCUUCGUCUGGUCCAGGCUGGGCAGGACAUCCCUGGACUACAGAAGCUGAAUAUCACUGCAACCAAUGGGACUGCAACAGCAUCUCAAAUGGCUCCCAAACCCAAACCUUGGGAGAACAAGCAGUGAUGAAUGGAAAGCCUUUUCACUCAUCUUCCAUGCCAGAAAAAAUAUUUGUGAAAGUCUGAAGUUUGCUUGAUAAAGAUGUUAAAAUCCUGUCUGUAUGCUUGUAUUAUUAGUGGACAAGAGGUUAUUUUUUAUACUGUAAUUAAAUUCUCCCGUCUUAGUA